GACGAACGCUGGCGGCGUGCCUAAUACAUGCAAGUAGAACGCUGAAGGAGGAGCUUGCUCUUCUGGAUGAGUUGCGAACGGGUGAGUAACGCGUAGGUAACCUGCCUGGUAGCGGGGGAUAACUAUUGGAAACGAUAGCUAAUACCGCAUAAGAGUAGAUGUUGCAUGACAUUUACUUAAAAGGUGCAAUUGCAUCACUACCAGAUGGACCUGCGUUGUAUUAGCUAGUUGGUGGGGUAACGGCUUACCAAGGCGACGAUACAUAGCCGACCUGAGAGGGUGAUCGGCCACACUGGGACUGAGACACGGCCCAGACUCCUACGGGAGGCAGCAGUAGGGAAUCUUCGGCAAUGGACGGAAGUCUGACCGAGCAACGCCGCGGGAGUGAAGAAGGUUUUCGGAUCGUAAAGCUCUGUUGUAAGAGAAGAACGAGUGUGAGAGUGGAAAGUUCACACUGUGACGGUAUCUUACCAGAAAGAGACGGCUAACUACGUG
RNAcentral lists this ribosomal RNA (495 nucleotides) under uncultured bacterium. Its description in RNAcentral is "partial 16S ribosomal RNA". It matches the Rfam family "Bacterial small subunit ribosomal RNA", at positions 28 to 507 of the family's 1533-position model. The record is from RNAcentral.